This 1602-nucleotide long non-coding RNA is filed under the name Fukomys damarensis (Damara mole-rat). Its description in RNAcentral is "lncRNA (ENSFDAG00000023544.1)". The record is from RNAcentral. Lineage: Eukaryota; Metazoa; Chordata; Mammalia; Rodentia; Bathyergidae.
AUGCAUGAGGGUCACAUGUUUAGGAGUCAGCCAGGCCUCCUGCUUGGGGACUCGAGCCCAGCCAAGUCCUGCGUGGGCCACCCACACAAUGGAGAGCCCGUGCUCAUGGGGGCUGGUUCCCUUCGCACAUCAGCUACGGCCCGAGUUGCUAGAAACAUCUGCAUGGCCACAGCAAAAGCCUGUAAUCCGAUUCUUCGAUCCAGAGUUGCAGGUCUCACUCUGGGCACCUCGGGGAAGCCCGGCUCAAGUGUCCUCCUCUGUGAAAAGCUCCUUGCCAACCCGCCCCCCUGCGCCAGUGAGUCACUCCUCGUUCUGGAUCACAGAACACUUUGUUCGGAUCUCUCCUGGCGCACUUCUCACGCCAUAUUAAAGCCCCAACUAGAACCGUGUCUCAGGGAGGCUGACCCCACUUCCAGGCCCAGAAGUGGACCUGAUUGGUCCCGGAGACCUGCCACCCGCUGUCCAGGAAUUGGGUUCAGGAAUGGAACCGUGACCCAAUUCACACCAAAGAACUGUGAGGGAAAAUCUGCUGGAGGCAAUCUAGAAGAAGUUUCUUCUUUUCCUAAGAGGAAGUCUUGCGGUGGGUCUGUGAGCAGAGGGAGUCUUUCUCACACUUUACUCCAUGAUUCUGCAGAAUGUGGUGCCGUGGACCUGCUAUUGCCAUAUUGCUACCAGCCUAAAGAAAGAAGCCAGUACUGGGAAGUUGCAGCGGAAAGAUGGAUUGAAGGGAUUUGAGGCAUGGGUGUGUGUGCACACACGUGGGUACACCUGAGAUUAAAACUAGGGUCUUUAACCGGGGAUUUAGCUCAGUGGUUCCACCGCCUGUCUCUGAGUUCAAUCCCAGGUACAAAAGAAAUAAAUAAAGGAGUCAUCUUGUAAGGGCUGGGGAUUUCACUCAGUGGUUUCAGCGCCUGCCUUGCAAGUGCAAGGACCAGAGUUUGAUCCCUGGUACAAAAACAAAACAAGCAAACAAAAAAACUAGGGUCUUUGUGCUUUCUUUUCUUCUUCCCUUUUUUUUUGCGGGGGGGUCUGGGGAUCGAACUCAGGUCCUUGCACUUGCAAAGCAGGUGGCAACACCACUGAGCUAAAUCCCCAGACCAUGUACUUUCUUAACUUUUUAUUUUGAGACAGGUUCUCACUAAGUUACUCAGUUACCCAGCCUGGUCUCAAACCUUCAAUCUUUUUGCAUCAGCCUGCCAAAGUUCUGGAAUUAUAGGUUUAUGCUGCCACACCUGGCUAGGACUUGAGUUUUAUGACAUCACUGAGCUCUGUCUAUAAAUUUUUGUAAUGGAAAAUAAUUUUCUUAACCACUUAAAUCAUGUAUAGUCCUUGCAACCCAAAGCAUUAACUGAUAUUUAAGCAUUUUACUAUGUUUAUUUAAUCAUAAAUAUUUGAACCCAUACUUCCCUAGGCCCUAUGCUGAGUGCAGUAUAUGAAAUUAUCUCUACUUCUCAAAUAAAUGGUCUAUGAAAUGGGUGUUAUUCUCAUCUUACAGAAGAAGAAACAGAAGCCUGGUACAAUUAAAUUCUGUCUUAUUUUUGUUUUUAUUUGGGUGGUUCUCAAACCAAACCCAGGGACACUCUACCCCUGAGCAACAUCCCC